UGCUUCCUUGAGACCGGCGCACGGGUGCGUAACGCGUAUGCAAUCUACCUUAUACAGAGGGAUAGCCCAGAGAAAUUUGGAUUAAUACCUCAUAGUAUUAUGAAAUCGCAUGGUUUUAUAAUUAAAGUUCCAACGGUAUAAGAUGAGCAUGCGUCCCAUUAGUUAGUUGGUAAGGUAACGGCUUACCAAGACAAUGAUGGGUAGGGGUCCUGAGAGGGAGAUCCCCCACACUGGUACUGAGACACGGACCAGACUCCUACGGGAGGCAGCAGUGAGGAAUAUUGGUCAAUGGACGCAAGUCUGAACCAGCCAUGCCGCGUGCAGGAUGACGGUCCUAUGGAUUGUAAACUGCUUUUAUACAGGAAGAAACACUCCCUCGUGAGGGAGCUUGACGGUACUGUAGGAAUAAGGAUCGGCUAACUCCGUGCCAGCAGCCGCGGUAAUACGGAGGAUCCAAGCGUUAUCCGGAAUCAUUGGGUUUAAAGGGUCCGUAGGCGGUUUAAUAAGUCAGUGGUGAAAGCCUAUCGCUUAACGAUAGAACGGCCAUUGAUACUGUUAGACUUGAAUUAGUGGGAAGUAACUAGAAUAUGUAGUGUAGCGGUGAAAUGCUUAGAUAUUACAUGGAAUACCAAUUGCGAAGGCAGGUUACUAUCACUAUAUUGACGCUGAUGGACGAAAGCGUGGGGAGCGAACAGGAUUAGAUACCCUGGUAGUCCACGCCGUAAACGAUGGAUACUAGCUGUUCGGAGCAAUCUGAGUGGCUAAGCGAAAGUGAUAAGUAUCCCACCUGGGGGAGUACGUUCGCAAGAAUGAAACUCAAAGGAAUUGACGGGGGCCCGCACAAGCGGAGGAGCAUGUGGUUUAAUUCGAUGAUACGCGAGGAACCUUACCAGGGCUUAAAUGGGAGACGACAGGACUGG
This 920-nucleotide ribosomal RNA is filed under the name Flavobacterium cauense. RNAcentral describes it as "bacterial SSU rRNA". It matches the Rfam family "Bacterial small subunit ribosomal RNA", at positions 82 to 1003 of the family's 1533-position model. Lineage: Bacteria; Pseudomonadati; Bacteroidota; Flavobacteriia; Flavobacteriales; Flavobacteriaceae. The record is from RNAcentral.